GGGGAAGGCGGAGGAGUGGCAGCGAGCGGUAGGAGGGAGGGACGUGCAGGCUUUUGUCGCGCUGCCUCCUCUCGCAGCUCCCGCCCCAGCCCGCGGCCCGCCGCGGUGAAGUCAGGCCUGGCCAAACUGGGCGUAGCUCUCACCCCCUCCCACUGGUAUGUCCUCUCAGCCACGUCCGCGCACUCCGCUGCCGCCGAUUCCAGCCUCGGCCCAGCCACCUUUCUCACUCCCCGGGCCCCAUUCAACCACCGUCGACGCUCUUGCUCUCCUCGCACUGGUCUCUGCAAAGGCCUUCCACUGUCAGGCUGGUCCAUCCACCUAAGGGACGUACGGAUCAGACACCCCUCGUCACCUUGAAGACACCGGCCCAGGUUCCAUUCCGUGUCCCUUGCAGAAGCUGCAGGGAACUGGAGGGUAGUGUGGAGACACCUGCAGAGUUGCUGGACAGUCUCACUUCUACAGUCCUCUGUCCGCCUAGCCUCAAGGCCGAGGCUGCCUGCGUGGCCUCGUGUCUGGUUGCCUGCUCCUGGCGCCUGUGCUGCCAAGCAUCGACCCGGAACCGGAGCGUUUUUUGGUUUGGAGCUGUUCCCAGGAGGCCCCUAGAUGACGCGGCUUCUGUCCCAAGUACCGAGAGAAGAUUCCAGGCUAUGUGUUAGGAACUUCGUGCCUAUUAACGUCUGGAACGCGUCAGUGAGUGAUUUGCUUAAAAAAAAAUCCCAGCCACCCUGACCCCAAAAGAGUUUUCUUUCCUUUUGUUAAGUUGAAUGCGUCUUUGAAUUUGGGGAAGGCUCCCGACAGAAGAGUUGUCUCUGACUUUGCUAGAGUCUCACUGUCACUUCUUGAAGGGACGUGGGCCAGCCCGUGAGGUGGGGCGCAUAGGCUUCACAAGUGGCUAAGCCUGCUAGGUGGUGCACGCGGACUCUGCCGGCUGUGGUGCCAGCCUGAGCUCAGAUUUUUUGCCAUUUCAUCCUUGGUGGGUUCUGAAGCUAGAAGAGGUCGGCAGAAGUCUCCAGCGUGAGAGUGCCCGGCUUCUGCGUGGAUCUGGGCUGUGGCACUCGGCUCUGGUCGGGAUCCAUUGCACCCAAUGAAUGCAGUAGGCAGCCAGGCUGCGUUUUGUCCCCCCCCCCCCGCCCCGGGUUCCAGGAAACCAGGAGUCAAUUGCGGUGAUGGAUUGAGGAUUAUUUUUCCCAGGCUGGCUGGCAGGCAGGCAGGCAGGCAAGUGUGUCUAUCCCUUUUGGUAUGUUCUUUCCAUGCGCUCCACCUUCACCAGCCCUUUAAACAUUGCCACUACUAUACUAAUACAUCCUCCCUGCUCACGGCUCUUCUCACUCUCCCCUACAAACCUUUUCAAGACCCUUUUGCCAGUCGCACCAUGAAAGUAUCAGUGCAUCAGCAAAGCCAGCUUCCCAAAGACCCAGAGCUAGGCCAUAAGGUAUUGCACAGCAUCUACAGCAACGACCCCAGGUCUACCUAAUUCAGGGGAGAAACAGAAAGGAAAACGAGGGAAGAAGCGAGAGA
Molecule: long non-coding RNA, 1518 nt
Filed under: Cricetulus griseus (Chinese hamster)
Lineage: Eukaryota; Metazoa; Chordata; Mammalia; Rodentia; Cricetidae
Description: lncRNA (ENSCGRG00015032988.1)
Source: RNAcentral